CCUAGGGGAGGCAGCAGUGAGGAAUAUUGGUCAAUGGACGUAAGUCUGAACCAGCCAAGUAGCGUGCAGGAUGACGGCCCUAUGGGUUGUAAACUGCUUUUAUACGGGGGUAAAGUGAGUGACGUGUCAUUCAUUGCAAGUACCGCAAGAAUAAGGACCGGCUAAUUCCGUGCCAGCAGCCGCGGUAA
This 188-nucleotide ribosomal RNA is filed under the name uncultured bacterium. RNAcentral describes it as "partial 16S ribosomal RNA". It matches the Rfam family "Bacterial small subunit ribosomal RNA", at positions 338 to 523 of the family's 1533-position model. The record is from RNAcentral.